RNAcentral lists this long non-coding RNA (1197 nucleotides) under Sus scrofa (pig). RNAcentral's name for it is "lncRNA (ENSSSCG00005035102.1)". The record is from RNAcentral. Lineage: Eukaryota; Metazoa; Chordata; Mammalia; Artiodactyla; Suidae.
CAAUCCUGCUCAGAUGUCCUCCAGGCUGGCAUCCUCAUGAACAAAUCCUGUGACACUGCAGGGUUCCUUCCUUGGCCCAAGGGCAAUUGUAAGAGGUCAAACAAAUUGACUUGCAUGUUGGCCUUCCCUUGUCUUGCCCUGGCUGAGAUGUUGGGAUGGAGUAAAGCUGACCAGGUGGGGACUGGAAGGAGGGAAAAGACCCCCAGUGGGUGGUGGUGAGCUGAGCACUGCCGAUGACAGUGCCUGGGGAGGGCAGGGCUUUGGUUAACAGCUAUGGCCAUAUAUUCUUCCCUCUACCACACACAUUUGUGGGGACCAGUUCAGGCCAGGCAGCUAGGUGGGGUUGUGAGGUAACUGUGCCUGGUCACCAGGGAGCUCCUGGUUUGGGGGAGGGGGUCCACAGGCCAGUACAUAGUAACCCCGGCAUUGUGGGCUUUCCAGGAGGUCCCAUGGGAUGACUGGGGUGGCAGUGGGGACACUUCUUCCUGAGUGUUUCUCAAAGCAGGAGAGCCUGAGUAGUGGGGGGUGAACAGGGAAGUGGUGUGUGCUGGAAAAUGCAUAAUCCCAGGCCUCCCCCAGACUUCCUGACAAGUGUGUGGGGUGGGGCUCAGGACUCCAGGUUACACACCCUUAGGUGACUUCUGUAAACCUACAGGUUUUAGUAUGAAAAUUGCAUUUUUUUUUAUUUUCCCACUGUACAGCAAGGGGGUCAGGUUAUCCUUACAUGUAUACAUUGCAAUUACAGUUUUUCCCCCACUCUUUCUUCUGUUGCAACAUGAGUAUCUAGACAUAGUUCUCAAUGCUAUUCAGCAGCAUCUCCUUGUUAGGGAAGUUUCUGAUAGGGUUCUUGUCUUGUGUGCUUGCCCCUUCUUCAGGGCUGUGUGGAAAAGAUUGGGAGCUGGCUGAGGAGCAAUGUGCUGGUGGCAGCUGCAGCAGCCCUGGGCAUUGCCUUUGUGGAGGUCCUGGGUAUUGUCUUUGCUUGCUGCCUUGUGAAGAGCAUCCGAAGUGGCUACGAGGGGAUGUAGGGGGUCUGGUCUCUUCAGCCCCCUCAUCCAGGAGAGUGGGCUAGUAUACUCCAGGUUUUUCAAUUAAACGGAUUAUUUUUUCAGACCGAAAAGAGAGAGCGUGUCUGUUUGUCUUCAAGAGUGAUACCUUAUUCCUUCCCUCUCCUGAUCUGUGUUCCUGUCCUUUGGGACC